RNAcentral lists this long non-coding RNA (626 nucleotides) under Rattus norvegicus (Norway rat). RNAcentral's name for it is "long non-coding RNA NONRATT013184". The record is from RNAcentral. Lineage: Eukaryota; Metazoa; Chordata; Mammalia; Rodentia; Muridae.
GUGAAGCCUUAUGCUGAGAUAAUUUUAUCUAGUUCAUGAACCAAAAUUAUAUAUAAGCUGAAUGCUACAGCAGUGUUGAAAGACUGGUGAGUAACAUAAUAAAUAUUAACAGAAGACUUGGUUCACGGUAAAAUUUUGGAGCUAUAUAGUUAAAGUAAAUAGAUUCUCCAUAGGAAAGUGUAUAUAUAUAGAUUGUGGUUUAUUAUAGCACAUAUUACUAGGUGAUUUAAAGCAGCGGUCCUCAAUAUAUGAGUCAUGACCCCUUUGGGGGUUGAAUGACCCUUUCUAGGAGCUGCAUAUCACAUAUCCUGCAUAUCAGAUAUUUAUCUUUACGAUUCAUAACAGUAGCAAAAUUAUAGUCAUGAAAUAGCAAUGAAAAUAAUUUCAUGAUUGGGAACUGUUAGUAGAGGUUUGAAGUAUUAGGAAGGUUGAGAACCACUGGUUCAAAGGGAAGAAAAUAAUAUUAAAAAUAAAAGUGCUUAUAAAUACCUAUGACAUACUUUCUAUAUAAAAUUUUAUGUAGUAAAUAUUUUAUAGCUAUAAAUGUGAAUAAACUGUAAACACAUGGAUGGCCAUGAUAAGUAUCAGCUAGUGUGGGUGUAGGUUUCCUGCAUUGUAAUCUUGGU